GCAACUUAUACAUCAUCCUGUCCAACCUCCUUGUUUUACACAGGAGGAAAUGUGAACUCAAGAGGCAAAACAACUUGUCCAAUGGCAUGCAACUAGUUAUAUGGCGGAAUUGGAUCUAGUUGCUGGUCUUCUUAUUCUUUUUUCAUUGCUUUUUCCAUAACACAACAUGGCCUCUCUAAUUAUUAACUAUGACCUGGCAUUCCACCACCCAUCACAUAUUUAUUGAGUGCUUACUAUUCACUUACCUAUGUUUUCAGGACCAGCUCAAGGAAAAACGAAUUAAGUCAACAAUAAAGAGCCAUUUAUUAACGCACACUAUCUCAUUUAAUCCUCACCAUAGCAAGAUGAGACUGAGGUAAUUAUGUCUGUGACAAAUGAGGAAAACAAAAUUUGCUUAUGGUAGCUAAUGGAUAGCAAAGCUGUGAUUCAAACUGAAGCUGUCCGACUCUGUAUUCUAAGUUUAUCAUCUUAUACCACGUUGCCUUUCUCAAUCCAGAUCUUUCCAUCUUCAACUUUUAUCCCCCCUUACACACUUAUUUCCACAGGGCCUUUUUCUAAUCCAGUUGUCAAGGAUGGGCCAUCAUUUGGAAAAUUACAAUCUCAAGGAGCUGACAUUCUGGGGCCUACAGACCAAAGACCAUAAACAAGUGAAUGGGAAAAUCUCCAGGACGUAAAGGAGGGUAGAUUCACUGGCAGAAGGUGCCUUGGUCCCUGAAUGACUACAUGGAGCACUGUCCUGUCCCCUCCCUACAACUGUCACUGGACUCUGACAUGAUUUUGCACAUUUAUAUGAGGAUGUGAUGCCUGGAACUACAACAGCGACCUUGUCUUCAUUAAGAGAAAAAUCUGAAAGCAAAAAAUGACAGGCUACAGAUGGCUAAGGCUGUGGAGCCAGUUCUGGAAGCAACCUAUUACCAGAAGUGUUUUAGGGGACAAGACUCUUGGGUGGCCAGAACUGAAGACUCAGAAAUGACAGCCCUCUUACCCUCCGAGGUACUGACUGAGACGUAGGAAGUUCCAUCCACAAGGUGCUGUGUUGUGCAGGGUCCGAGAGGACCUGGCUCAGGAUUCUGACUAGACACUCUAAACGUUUUGUACUCUGGGGAAAGCAACGCUCCCUCAGCUUCUGUUUCUUUAGUUUUAAAAGCAAAGAGCCUUUACUAGAUGGUGUCUCGCAUUUCUACUAUAGUGCAAUAAUUUAUUCUUUUCUGUUUUGUUUCAUACCAGUUGACUGUGCAAAAAAAUAAAAAGAAACUGACAUGCAUAAAUAAAU
RNAcentral lists this long non-coding RNA (1273 nucleotides) under Equus asinus (donkey). Its description in RNAcentral is "lncRNA (ENSEASG00005028892.1)". The record is from RNAcentral. Lineage: Eukaryota; Metazoa; Chordata; Mammalia; Perissodactyla; Equidae.